UAAACAGUGAACCAGGGAAGUGCCUGCUAGC
Molecule: non-coding RNA, 31 nt
Filed under: Macaca fascicularis (crab-eating macaque)
Lineage: Eukaryota; Metazoa; Chordata; Mammalia; Primates; Cercopithecidae
Also listed under: 2 other names
Source: RNAcentral